GACGAACGCUGGCGGCGUGCUUAACACAUGCAAGUCGAACGGUGAAGCGCCUUCCUUUUUGGUGGGUGUGGAUGAGUGGCGAACGGGUGAGUAACACGUUAGUAACCUGCCCCCUCCUGCUGGAUAACCGCAUGAAAGUGUGGCUAAUACGGGAUAUUCUGGGUCUGUCGCAUGAUGGGUCUGGGAAAGAUAUUGUUUCGGUGGGGGAUGGGCUCGCGGCCUAUCAGCUUGUUGGUGGGGUGAUGGCCUACCAAGGCGGUGACGGGUAGCCGGCCUGAGAGGGUGGGCCGUCCCGCAGGGGCUGCGCGGCGGCGCAGCCUACUGGAGGAAGCAGCAGGGGGUAUUACUGCAUGGGGGGCGGCAGGCUGGUGCAGCGCCGCCGGGGGGGGGAUGGUGGCCGUCUGGUUGUGCACCUCUUUCGGGAGAGAAGCAGGCCGGCCGUGUUUGUGCGUGGGUUGACGGUAGCUGGACAGGAAGCGCCGGCUAACUACGUG
This 494-nucleotide ribosomal RNA is filed under the name uncultured bacterium. RNAcentral's name for it is "partial 16S ribosomal RNA". It matches the Rfam family "Bacterial small subunit ribosomal RNA", at positions 28 to 507 of the family's 1533-position model. The record is from RNAcentral.